Thalassophryne amazonica is the source of this 314-nucleotide long non-coding RNA. RefSeq lists it as uncharacterized. The transcript has 3 exons. The record is from RefSeq and is a predicted model, not a curated record. Lineage: Eukaryota; Metazoa; Chordata; Actinopteri; Batrachoidiformes; Batrachoididae.
UCUCCUAUCCUCACCUGUGCUCAUGAGCUUUGGGUAAUAAAUGAAAGAGCAAGGUUGCGGAUACAAGCAGCAGAGACGAGCUUCCUCCAUCAGGUAUCUACACUCGGGGACAGGGUGAGAGGUUCAGAUAUCUGGGAGGGAUUCGUACAGCCGCUGCUCCUUCGCAUCAAAAGGAGCUAGUUGAGGCAGUUCGAGCAUCUGGUUAGGAUGUCCUCUGGUCUUCUCCCUAGGAAGGCCUUUCAGGCAUGUCCAACUGGGAGAAGGCUCAAGGGAAGACACACUGGAGGGAUUAUAUUUCUCACAUGCUUUAGUUA